UUACUCUUAAUUAAGCUAAUCAGAGCAAA
RNAcentral lists this small RNA (29 nucleotides) under Bombyx mori (domestic silkworm). RNAcentral's name for it is "ovarian small RNA-9382". The record is from RNAcentral. Lineage: Eukaryota; Metazoa; Arthropoda; Insecta; Lepidoptera; Bombycidae.